CCUACGGGCGGCAGCAGUGGGGAAUAUUGGACAAUGGGCGAAAGCCUGAUCCAGCCAUGCCGCGUGUGUGAAGAAGGCCUUCGGGUUGUAAAGCACUUUCAGUGGGGAAGAAAGCCUUGGGGCUAAUACCCUCGAGGAAGGACAUCACCCACAGAAGAAGCACCGGCUAACUCCGUGCCAGCAGCCGCGGUAAUACGGAGGGUGCGAGCGUUAAUCGGAAUCACUGGGCGUAAAGCGCGCGUAGGCGGUCUGAUAAGCCGGUUGUGAAAGCCCCGGGCUCAACCUGGGAACGGCAUCCGGAACUGUCAGGCUAGAGUGCAGGAGAGGAAGGUAGAAUUCCCGGUGUAGCGGUGAAAUGCGUAGAGAUCGGGAGGAAUACCAGUGGCGAAGGCGGCCUUCUGGACUGACACUGACGCUGAGGUGCGAAAGCGUGGGUAGCAAACAGGAUUAGAUACCCGGGUAGUC
Molecule: ribosomal RNA, 465 nt
Filed under: Vreelandella stevensii
Lineage: Bacteria; Pseudomonadati; Pseudomonadota; Gammaproteobacteria; Oceanospirillales; Halomonadaceae
Description: partial 16S ribosomal RNA
Rfam family: Bacterial small subunit ribosomal RNA
Source: RNAcentral